UGGGGAAUAUUGCACAAUGGGCGCAAGCCUGAUGCAGCGACGCCGCGUGAGGGAUGGAGGCCUUCGGGUUGUAAACCUCUUUCGCCAGUGAAGCAGGCCUGUCCCUUUUGUGGGUGGGUUGACGGUAGCUGGAUAAGAAGCGCCGGCUAACUACGUGCCAGCAGCCGCGGUAAUACGUAGGGCGCGAGCGUUGUCCGGAAUUAUUGGGCGUAAAGAGCUCGUAGGCGGCUGGUCGCGUCUGUCGUGAAAUCCUCUGACUUAACUGGGGGCUUGCGGUGGGUACGGGCCGGCUUGAGUGCGGUAGGGGAGACUGGAACUCCUGGUGUAGCGGUGGAAUGCGCAGAUAUCAGGAAGAACACCGGUGGCGAAGGCGGGUCUCUGGGCCGUUACUGACGCUGAGGAGCGAAAGCGUGGGGAGCGAACAGGAUUAGAUACCCUGGUAGUCCACGCCGUAAACGUUGGGCACUAGGUGUGGGGGGCCUUUUCCGGGUCUUCCGCGCCGUAGCUAACGCAUUAAGUGCCCCGCCUGGGGAGUACGGCCGCAAGGCUA
This 550-nucleotide ribosomal RNA is filed under the name uncultured bacterium. RNAcentral describes it as "bacterial SSU rRNA". It matches the Rfam family "Bacterial small subunit ribosomal RNA", at positions 355 to 896 of the family's 1533-position model. The record is from RNAcentral.